GAUGAACGCUGGCGGCGUGCCUAAUACAUGCAAGUCGAGCGAACAGAUAAGGAGCUUGCUCCUUUGACGUUAGCGGCGGACGGGUGAGUAACACGUGGAUAACCUACCUAUAAGACUGGGAUAACUUCGGGAAACCGGAGCUAAUACCGGAUAACAUAUUGAACCGCAUGGUUCAAUAGUGAAAGGCGGCUUUGCUGUCACUUAUAGAUGGAUCCGCGCCGUAUUAGCUAGUUGGUAAGGUAACGGCUUACCAAGGCAACGAUACGUAGCCGACCUGAGAGGGUGAUCGGCCACACUGGAACUGAGACACGGUCCAGACUCCUACGGGAGGCAGCAGUAGGGAAUCUUCCGCAAUGGGCGAAAGCCUGACGGAGCAACGCCGCGUGAGUGAUGAAGGUCUUCGGAUCGUAAAACUCUGUUAUCAGGGAAGAACAAAUGUGUAAGUAACUGUGCACAUCCUGACGGUACCUGAUCAGAAAGCCACGGCUAACUACGUG
Molecule: ribosomal RNA, 497 nt
Filed under: uncultured bacterium
Lineage: Bacteria
Description: partial 16S ribosomal RNA
Rfam family: Bacterial small subunit ribosomal RNA
Source: RNAcentral